UUACGACCAUAUCUCAUUGAAACAUCAGUACACGUGCGAUCACCGAAGUUAAGCAACGUCGAACCUUGUCAGCAUCUAGAUGGGUGACCGCUUAGGAAUACCAGGUGCUGUAAG
Molecule: non-coding RNA, 114 nt
Organism: Acanthosepion pharaonis
Lineage: Eukaryota; Metazoa; Mollusca; Cephalopoda; Sepiida; Sepiidae
Source: the annotation of a GenBank genome assembly